RNAcentral lists this long non-coding RNA (210 nucleotides) under Elaeis guineensis (African oil palm). Its description in RNAcentral is "long non-coding RNA (EGUI_LNC074222)". Lineage: Eukaryota; Viridiplantae; Streptophyta; Magnoliopsida; Arecales; Arecaceae. The record is from RNAcentral.
AUAUUAAAAUUUCGUCCAGCUAUGUUAUUUUCUCAUCAUGCUUGCAUCGAAACUACAUGCAUCUGUUAGAUCAUAUUUGAUCUAUUCGGCGAUGUACCCAAUUUUUGAAGACAUAAGAAACAUUUGAUGUUAGGAUCCGAUGAUUCGAAAUAUGUGAUAUGAGCAAUAUCAUAUGAUCCUACCAGUAUCACAGACAUCGACAUCUAACUG